This 474-nucleotide ribosomal RNA is filed under the name uncultured bacterium. RNAcentral describes it as "partial 16S ribosomal RNA". It matches the Rfam family "Bacterial small subunit ribosomal RNA", at positions 28 to 507 of the family's 1533-position model. The record is from RNAcentral.
GACGAACGCUGGCGGCGUGCUUAACACAUGCAAGUCGAGCGGUAAGGCUCCUUCGGGAGUACACGAGCGGCGAACGGGUGAGUAACACGUGAGUAAUCUGCCCUUCACUUCGGGAUAACCACCGGAAACGGUGGCUAAUACCGAAUACGACCAGUCUUCGCAUGAGGUGCUGGUGGAAAGUCUUUUCGGUGAAGGAUGUGCUCGCGGCCUAUCAGCUUGUUGGUGGGGUAAUGGCCUACCAAGGCUUCGACGGGUAGCCGGCCUGAGGGGGUGACCGGCCGAACUGGGACUGAGACACGGCCCAGACUCCUACGGGAGGCAGCAGUGGGGAAUAUUGGACAAUGGGCGAAAGCCUGAUCCAGCAACGCCGCGUGAGGGAUGACGGCCUUCGGGUUGUAAACCUCUUUCAGUACCGACGAAGCGCCCUGUCGGGUGGUGACGGUAGGUACAGAAGAAGGACCGGCCAACUACGUG